Molecule: ribosomal RNA, 492 nt
Filed under: uncultured bacterium
Lineage: Bacteria
Description: partial 16S ribosomal RNA
Rfam family: Bacterial small subunit ribosomal RNA
Source: RNAcentral
AGUGAACGCUGGCGGUAGGCCUAACACAUGCAAGUCGAACGGCAGCACAGUAAGAGCUUGCUCUUACGGGUGGCGAGUGACGGACGGGUGAGGAAUACAUCGGAAUCUACUUUUUCGUGGGGGAUAACGUAGGGAAACUUACGCUAAUACCGCAUACGACCUACGGGUGAAAGCAGGGGAUCUUCGGACCUUGCGCGAUUGAAUGAGCCGAUGUCGGAUUAGCUAGUUGGCGGGGUAAAGGCCCACCAAGGCGACGAUCCGUAGCUGGUCUGAGAGGAUGAUCAGCCACACUGGAACUGAGACACGGUCCAGACUCCUACGGGAGGCAGCAGUGGGGAAUAUUGGACAAUGGGCGCAAGCCUGAUCCAGCCAUAACGCGUGGGUGAAGAAGGCCUUCGGGUUGUAAAGCCCUUUUGUUGGGAAAGAAAAGCAGCAGGUUAAUACCCCGCUGUUCUGACGGUACCCAAAGAAUAAGCACCGGCUAACUUCGUG